UACAGAGGGUGCGAGCGUUAAUCGGAAUUACUGGGCGUAAAGCGUGCGUAGACGGUAGCGUAAGUCGGGUGUGAAAGCCCCCGGGCUCAACCUGGGAAUUGCAUUCGAGACUGCUCUGCUAGGGUGCGGAAGAGGGGAGCGGAAUUUCCGGUGUAGCGGUGAAAUGACGUAGAUAUCGGAAGGAACACCAGUGGCGAAAGCGGCUCCCUGGUCCAGCACCGACGUUCAGGCACGAAAGCGUGGGGAGCAAACAGG
RNAcentral lists this ribosomal RNA (255 nucleotides) under uncultured bacterium. Its description in RNAcentral is "partial 16S ribosomal RNA". It matches the Rfam family "Bacterial small subunit ribosomal RNA", at positions 524 to 776 of the family's 1533-position model. The record is from RNAcentral.